Molecule: ribosomal RNA, 123 nt
Filed under: Arabidopsis halleri subsp. gemmifera
Lineage: Eukaryota; Viridiplantae; Streptophyta; Magnoliopsida; Brassicales; Brassicaceae
Source: RNAcentral
NGAUGCGAUCAUACCAGCACUAAUGCACCGGAUCCCAUCAUAACUCCGCAGUUAAGCGUGCUUGGGCGAGAGUAGUACUAGAAUGGGUGACCUCCUGGCAGUGGCAGAGCUAGGACGAACUUU